Molecule: ribosomal RNA, 497 nt
Filed under: uncultured bacterium
Lineage: Bacteria
Description: partial 16S ribosomal RNA
Rfam family: Bacterial small subunit ribosomal RNA
Source: RNAcentral
GAUGAACGCUGGCGGCGUGCCUAAUACAUGCAAGUCGAGCGAACAGACGAGGAGCUUGCUCCUCUGACGUUAGCGGCGGACGGGUGAGUAACACGUGGAUAACCUACCUAUAAGACUGGGAUAACUUCGGGAAACCGGAUCUAAUACCGGAUAAUAUAUUGAACCGCAUGGUUCAAUAGUGAAAGACGGUUUUGCUGUCACUUAUAGAUGGAUCCGCGCCGCAUUAGCUAGUUGGUAAGGUAACGGCUUACCAAGGCAACGAUGCGUAGCCGACCUGAGAGGGUGAUCGGCCACACUGGAACUGAGACACGGUCCAGACUCCUACGGGAGGCAGCAGUAGGGAAUCUUCCGCAAUGGGCGAAAGCCUGACGGAGCAACGCCGCGUGAGUGAUGAAGGUCUUCGGAUCGUAAAACUCUGUUAUUAGGGAAGAACAAAUGUGUAAGUAACUAUGCACGUCUUGACGGUACCUAAUCAGAAAGCCCCGGCUAACUACGUG